UAUACAUUAUGAAUUUUAUUUAAAUGAAGUAUGAGUAUAACAUAACAUUGUACGAUGAGUAUAUGAUGAAAUAAUGUAACUCUACCGACUGUACCCCAAACCCUUUUUUUUUUUUUUUCUGUAUCCCCUUGUUUUUUGUUCAUUUUCCUUUACUGGAAAUAAUUUGGAAAAUAAAGAAAAAUGUAAAUUGCAAAAAAAAAGAAAUAGCUCAAAACAACAAAUGCUUCAAGGGGUUUCCCCAAAUUCAACUGAAAAUGCAAUUUAUGUCAGGAUUACAAGUUGAUCCAGCAUGCAGUACCGUGUCACACCUAGGACUAAGGAUAACUUAUAACCGGACCUUAGAAUUGCCAGACUUAACGUCUCCAAGAAUCGUCAAAAUACUUGCCGAGGUCAGGGACACAGAAUCAGACACAAAGAUGAGGGAAUGCCAAAAGUCAAGGAUACCAG
Pelobates cultripes (western spadefoot toad) is the source of this 447-nucleotide non-coding RNA. The record is from the annotation of a GenBank genome assembly. NCBI's taxonomy places the organism in Eukaryota, Metazoa, Chordata, Amphibia, Anura, Pelobatidae.